GAGUUUGAUCAUGGCUCAGAUUGAACGCUGGCGGCAUGCCUUACACAUGCAAGUCGAACGGCAGCACGGGAGCUUGCUCCUGGUGGCGAGUGGCGAACGGGUGAGUAAUGCAUCGGAACGUAUCCUGGAGUGGGGAUAACGUAGCGAAAGUUACGCUAAUACCGCAUAUUCUGUGAGCAGGAAAGCGGGGGACCUUCGGGCCUCGCGCUCUUGGAGCGGCCGACGUCGGAUUAGCUAGUUGGUGAGGUAAAGGCUCACCAAGGCGACGAUCCGUAGCAGGUCUGAGAGGAUGAUCUGCCACACUGGAACUGAGACACGGUCCAGACUCCUACGGGAGGCAGCAGUGGGAUUUGGACAAUGGGGCACCCUGAUCCAGCCAUGCCGCGUGAGUG
RNAcentral lists this ribosomal RNA (392 nucleotides) under bacterium enrichment culture clone ALO1_GLFRUDD03GITOU. Its description in RNAcentral is "bacterial SSU rRNA". It matches the Rfam family "Bacterial small subunit ribosomal RNA", at positions 9 to 407 of the family's 1533-position model. The record is from RNAcentral.